AUUGAACGCUGGCGGCAGGCCUAACACAUGCAAGUCGAGCGGAUGAAGGGAGCUUGCUCCUGGAUUCAGCGGCGGACGGGUGAGUAAUGCCUAGGAAUCUGCCUGGUAGUGGGGGAUAACGUCCGGAAACGGGCGCUAAUACCGCAUACGUCCUGAGGGAGAAAGUGGGGGAUCUUCGGACCUCACGCUAUCAGAUGAGCCUAGGUCGGAUUAGCUAGUUGGUGGGGUAAAGGCCUACCAAGGCGACGAUCCGUAACUGGUCUGAGGGGAUGAUCAGUCACACUGGAACUGAGACACGGUCCAGACUCCUACGGGAGGCAGCAGUGGGGAAUAUUGGACAAUGGGCGAAAGCCUGAUCCAGCCAUGCCGCGUGUGUGAAGAAGGUCUUCAGAUUGUAAAGCACUUUAAGUUGGGAGGAAGGGCAGUAAGUUAAUACCUUGCUGUUUUGACGUUACCAACAGAAUAAGCACCGGCUAACUUCGUG
RNAcentral lists this ribosomal RNA (484 nucleotides) under uncultured bacterium. RNAcentral's name for it is "partial 16S ribosomal RNA". It matches the Rfam family "Bacterial small subunit ribosomal RNA", at positions 30 to 507 of the family's 1533-position model. The record is from RNAcentral.